AAGGUAGCAUAUAAUUUGCCCUUUAAUUGUGGGCUAGUAUGAACGGAAAAACGAGAGCAAAGCUGUCUCUUAAGCACCAAAUAAAAUUACCCUUUAGGUGAAGAGGCCUAAAUUAUAUUAAAAGACAAAAAGACCCUGUAGAGCUUAAUCAAUAAUUACUAAAGAAAAACUAAUAUAUAUAUUUCCCCUUAAAUAUAAUUUUGAUUUAGCUGGGGCGGCUAAGGACCACAAUAACCCUCCUUUCUUAAUUAAGGCCCCAAACCUACUAAAUGAUCCUAAACAGACUAAAGAAAUAAGCUACCUCAGGGAUAACAGGCUUAUAUCUUCUGAGAGCACCUAUCGAAGAAGAACUUUGGCACCUCGAUGUUGGCUUAGAGGACCCUAUAGAUUGCAGAAGUCUUUAAAGGCAGGUUUGUUCAACCUUUAAACCUCUACGUGAUCUGAGUUCAGACCGGA
RNAcentral lists this ribosomal RNA (456 nucleotides) under Nicomache cf. benthaliana NHM_1820. RNAcentral describes it as "partial large subunit ribosomal RNA". It matches the Rfam family "Bacterial large subunit ribosomal RNA", at positions 1953 to 2620 of the family's 2925-position model. Lineage: Eukaryota; Metazoa; Annelida; Polychaeta; Maldanidae. The record is from RNAcentral.